CCGGACAGCAGCUGGAGUGCAUGCCGCGACGCCGAUUCCGGCUCGGUCCGGUAGACGAAGAUCGUCUGCUCGGGAUCGUCGCCCGGUGUCAGGGCC
RNAcentral lists this transfer RNA (96 nucleotides) under Gordonia rubripertincta. Its description in RNAcentral is "tRNA-Arg". Lineage: Bacteria; Bacillati; Actinomycetota; Actinomycetes; Mycobacteriales; Gordoniaceae. The record is from RNAcentral.